CUAAUAAAAUUGAGAAUGGAAAUGGGGAAUGUGUCAAAGAGACAAUAACCCGACCAUAGAAAAAACAACAGCAGAAGGUCACCAACAGGUCUUCAAUGUAGCGAGAAAUUCCCGCACCUGGAGGCGUCCUUCAACUGGCCCCUAAACAAAUAUAUACUAGUUCAGUGAUAAUGAACGCCAUACUACAUGUACUAAUUUCCAAAUUGUACACAAUGAAUACUUUUAAGGGGUCUUCCAUAAUUGUCAACCAUUUUCCAAAGUGUACAAAACGUACACUUGGGUGGAGGGGGUUAAAAAAUAAACAUUUUUACAGUACGCUUUUGAAAUUUUUUUAAAAAUAAAACAGUCUGAUAUGUUUCAGUUUAUUUUCUAUGCAAAUUUUUGUAUUAGACUAAACACACAUGCUAAACGUUAAUAGACAGGAUCUUCUUUUUAUUAAAAAUGAUUGAUUCUUGAAUUGAAAUCUAAAAAUGGUUGAUGUACACUAUUUGAGAGAGGGUUGGAAAAAGUGUAUGUUUUGUACACUUUGGAAAAUGGUUGACAAUUAUGGAUGACCCUUAACAUAUUUCAAUUUUUUAUAAACUCUUCAAUACACUUAUUAACCAUGUUUACCUUGACCCAAAACUUGUAAAUUUUCGUAUCAAUAUAUG
This 650-nucleotide long non-coding RNA is filed under the name Mytilus galloprovincialis (Mediterranean mussel). Lineage: Eukaryota; Metazoa; Mollusca; Bivalvia; Mytilida; Mytilidae. The record is from RNAcentral.